CUAUUACUCCCCCCGUUCCGAAUUAUUUGUCGCAUAUAUGGAUGUAUCUAGAUGUAUUUUAGUUCUAGAUACAUCCAUUUAUGUGACGAGUAAUUUGGAACGGAUGGAGUAGUAG
Triticum aestivum (bread wheat) is the source of this 115-nucleotide non-coding RNA. Lineage: Eukaryota; Viridiplantae; Streptophyta; Magnoliopsida; Poales; Poaceae. The record is from Rfam.